Molecule: ribosomal RNA, 114 nt
Filed under: Acanthosepion pharaonis
Lineage: Eukaryota; Metazoa; Mollusca; Cephalopoda; Sepiida; Sepiidae
Source: RNAcentral
UUACGGUCAAAUCACGCUGAAACACCGGUUCUCGUACGAUCACCGAAGUUAAGCAGCGUAGAGCCAGGUCAGUAAUUAGAUGGGAGACCGCUUGGGAACACCUGGUACUGUAAG